GCUGGGCGUGGUGGCGCACGCCUGUAGUCCCAGCUACUUGGGAGGCUGAGGCUGGAGGAUCGCUUGAGCUCAGGAGUUCUGGGCUGCAGUGCGCUAUGCUGAUCGGGUGUCCGCACUAAGUUCGGCAUCAAUAUGGUGACCUCCCGGGAGCGGGGGACCACCAGGUUGCCUAAGGAGGGGUGAACCGGCCCUGGUCGGAAACGGAGCAGGUCAAAAAUAUUUAUUUAUUUUCCCUUUUGUUGCCCUUGGAUUUUUUUUUUAUUGUUGUAGCUAUUACUGUUUUUGU
This 286-nucleotide signal recognition particle RNA is filed under the name Erinaceus europaeus (western European hedgehog). Its description in RNAcentral is "Metazoan signal recognition particle RNA". It matches the Rfam family "Metazoan signal recognition particle RNA". From Rfam's summary of the family: The signal recognition particle (SRP) is a universally conserved ribonucleoprotein. It is involved in the co-translational targeting of proteins to membranes. Lineage: Eukaryota; Metazoa; Chordata; Mammalia; Eulipotyphla; Erinaceidae. The record is from Rfam by way of RNAcentral.